This is a long non-coding RNA of Hippocampus comes (tiger tail seahorse), 656 nucleotides long. RefSeq lists it as uncharacterized. The record is from RefSeq and is a predicted model, not a curated record. The transcript is spliced from 3 exons. Lineage: Eukaryota; Metazoa; Chordata; Actinopteri; Syngnathiformes; Syngnathidae.
UAACCACAUAAAAUGAGCCGUCACUGGCCCACCGGUCCCUCUCCUCCUUGUUUGGCCGCAGUUGAGGACAACUGUUGGGUUGGCCGAAUUGUCAACACUUUUCACACGGUUCUCUGCAGUGACCUUGAUACCAAGGUGAUGUUCCCGAGAUGUAUUCUGCUGCUCCAGAACGUUGAGUAGAGUUUAAAUACAUUUUGAAAGUUUAAGUGCCACCUACAGCGAUGAUAUUUAGUCAACACCUCAAGAGAGUUUUACAAAUACAUACCAUACAAGUGUAAUUGUGUGGCAGUAGAUGCUAUACACUGAAACGAUGCGGGGGGAGUAGGGCUUAUAGAGAAUCUAAAUUUUGAAAUAAGGCGCUCAUAAAUUAUGGACUCUUGCAUGUUUUGGGGUGAAGGGGUUUUAAAAAGUCUAAAUUGACUUUCUUGAGAUUAGAACUUCAAUUUUGUAACCUCCCCACUUUUCACUGUUCAUCUCGUGUACUAAAACAUUAAUAUGAAAUGUGUUAGUGGCAAUUUCUUUUUGACAGGUGGUAAGUUUAGGGUGAAUGUGGCAUUCCUCAUCCCAAUGUUUCCCCUCAAUCAUGCAUAGUCUUGUCCAAUCUGACUGGAGUUUUGUGUACACGCCUCAAACUUGUCUAAUAAAAUGAUUUUGUU